Molecule: long non-coding RNA, 230 nt
Filed under: Mytilus galloprovincialis (Mediterranean mussel)
Lineage: Eukaryota; Metazoa; Mollusca; Bivalvia; Mytilida; Mytilidae
Source: RNAcentral
GGCCCCGAUAAGACAAUGUAAAACAAUUCAAACGAGAAAACUAACGGCCUUAUUCAUGUAAAAACAAAAUGAACGAAAAACAAAUAUGUAACACAUAAACAAACGACAACCACUGAAUUACAGGAUCCUGACUUUGGACAGGCACAUACAUAAAUAAUGUGGCAGGGUUAAACAUGUAAGCGGGAUCCCAACCCUUCCCCUAACCUGGGACAGUGGUAUAACAGUACAAC